UACAGAGGGUGCGAGCGUUAAUCGGAAUUACUGGGCGUAAAGCGCGCGUAGGCGGUUUUGCAAGUCGGAUGUGAAAUCCCCGGGCUUAACCUGGGAACUGCAUUCGAGACUGCAUUGCUAGAGUAUGGGAGAGGGAAGUGGAAUUUCAGGUGUAGCGGUGAAAUGCGUAGAUAUCUGAAGGAACAUCAGUGGCGAAAGCGACUUCCUGGACCAAUACUGACGCUCAUGUGCGAAAGCGUGGGGAGCAAACAGG
Molecule: ribosomal RNA, 253 nt
Filed under: uncultured bacterium
Lineage: Bacteria
Description: partial 16S ribosomal RNA
Rfam family: Bacterial small subunit ribosomal RNA
Source: RNAcentral